RNAcentral lists this ribosomal RNA (253 nucleotides) under uncultured bacterium. RNAcentral describes it as "partial 16S ribosomal RNA". It matches the Rfam family "Bacterial small subunit ribosomal RNA", at positions 524 to 776 of the family's 1533-position model. The record is from RNAcentral.
UACAGAGGGUGCGAGCGUUAAUCGGAAUUACUGGGCGUAAAGGGCGCGUAGGUUGUGUAUUAAGUGACAUGUGAAAUCCCUGGGCUUAACCUAGGACUGGCAUGUUAGACUGGUACGCUAGAGUACGAUAGAGGGUAGUGGAAUUUCCGGUGUAGCGGUGAAAUGCGUAGAUAUCGGAAGGAACAUCAGUGGCGAAGGCGGCUACCUGGAUUGAUACUGACACUGAGGCGCGAGAGCGUGGGGAGCAAACAGG